GCUAACUUCUCUCAGAAUGAGUAUUAUAGAACUUGGUAAAAGUUUCCCGGCUUCUUAUGACAGCCUCAGGGUCACGCAAAUCACUUCUGUGGCAUUCUACUAAUCAAAAGCAAGUCACAGGACCAGCCCAACUCAAAGAAAGGGACUACAUAAGAGCAAGAGGGUCUUGCUAGCUAAAUUGCCCAAGCUGGCCUGGAACUUGAUUCUUCUGCCUCUGCUUCCUGAGUAGCUGGGUUUUCCGGUGUGUAUCACCACGCUCGGCAAGGUUUG
Non-coding RNA from Ictidomys tridecemlineatus (thirteen-lined ground squirrel), 270 nucleotides. NCBI's taxonomy places the organism in Eukaryota, Metazoa, Chordata, Mammalia, Rodentia, Sciuridae. The record is from RefSeq and is a predicted model, not a curated record.